RNAcentral lists this long non-coding RNA (462 nucleotides) under Mus pahari (shrew mouse). Its description in RNAcentral is "lncRNA (MGP_PahariEiJ_G0003279.1)". Lineage: Eukaryota; Metazoa; Chordata; Mammalia; Rodentia; Muridae. The record is from RNAcentral.
ACUGCCGGGAGAGGAAGAGAGAGAAAGGAAGAUUGCUUUUCCCAGGCCAGCCCCUCUGAGGCAGUCUGCUGCUUGGCAGAGAUGUUAAGGUUUGCUCUCUGGAGAUUUUCAGACUAUCCUGUCCCAGAUUCUCAUUGGGAAGCAGGCUUGUCAUUUGCUUAUUUGUCUGCGGCUGGUUUUCAUGUUGCGCAUGUGUGCACAAAUGCACAUGAAGGCCACAAAUUUUCUGCCUGCAGUUGUUGGACCAUCACGUGUCAUAGACUCCAAGAUAGCAAAUCAUGUCUUCCUCUGAGAUGGCGAGACCUACAUCCUAAAAACUUCUCAAGUCUCUUCUCUUUGAAGCUAGCACAGUUUAAGCACAUCUUCAGUCUUGCAUUAAGCCCUGCAACGCUGUCAAUUCACACCGCCAAUCGUCCUCUGGAUACACUGGCUCAUCACAUAGUUUGUAUAUGUUUAUCUUUG